ACUCCUUUUGCUCCUUGGUUCCUAUUUCUGUGGUUGUCUGUGAUGAGCAAAGUUUCCUUGUGCAUACUGCUCACAAUAUGUGAGCUGGGUGAAGGGCAUGACCACUGUAUGAAGGGCCUGCAGCAUUGCGGCUACUUGCCAGGUUUUAAUGUGGUCAUUUCAGGGAUGAAGGAGGAGUACUAGGAAAGCCUGUAUCUAUGGAACAGUGUCGGUAGCAGCGGCAGCACCUAAGCCAGGAUGGGGAAUCUCUGGCCCUCCAGUUGUUUGAACGUUGGUUCUCAUCAGUACUAUCCAGCAUGUUCAAUUUUAAGAGAUAUUGGGGAUGGAAGUCCAAGAUGGUAGCCAAAAGUUCCCCACCUUUGAUCUAAGGGGUCAGCUGAACAGAUGUUUUCUAUAUGACCCUGUCUGGUGCACAUGUGUGUUCACUACCUUCCGGAAGAAGCUCACAUGUUUUAUUUGUUGUCUUGGAGGUUUGGUGGGGUAUCAAUGAUAGGUGCCAUUAGAAAGGUGGAAUAUCAAUAACAAGGGGCAUUUUGCGUUCUUCUGCAGAAGGCGGCCAGAGUGUAAGUGAGAGAUGAUUUAUUUUGCAGUGAUGCAGAUGUCAUUCUGCAUUUGUAUUAUAAUUGCAAAGGGUCUUUAAAAACUUGUGCUGCUCCUUAGGAGUGGGUGUCACUCUCUCUGUGUGUGCUGUGAUGUGAAAUGUGGCGACAGCCCUGGAAACUACCUUCUUCAUGAGUGUUCUCUUUUUCUGGGGCUAUUUCAGAUUGGCAUCGAUCCUCCACGAGGAGUGCUGAUGUAUGGCCCCCCUGGCUGUGGAAAGACCAUGCUGGCCAAGGCAGUGGCCCAUCACACCACUGCUGCCUUCAUCCGAGUGGUGGGGUCUGAAUUUGUGCAGAAGUACUUGGGAGAAGGCCCACGCAUGGUGCGAGACGUCUUCCGCUUGGCCAAGGAGAACGCCCCAGCCAUCAUCUUCAUUGAUGAGAUUGAUGCCAUUGCCACCAAGCGCUUUGAUGCCCAGACUGGGGGUGAGUAGGCACUGGGGUUAGGUGGAGGAGGACUUGG
This 1062-nucleotide long non-coding RNA is filed under the name Pogona vitticeps (central bearded dragon). RNAcentral describes it as "lncRNA (ENSPVIG00000004870.1)". The record is from RNAcentral. Lineage: Eukaryota; Metazoa; Chordata; Lepidosauria; Squamata; Agamidae.